ACGGAAGGCAGCAGUGAGGAAUAUUGGUCAAUGGGCGUAAGCCUGAACCAGCCAAGUAGCGUGAGGGAUGACUGCCCUACGGGUUGUAAACCUCUUUUGUUUGGGAAUAAAGUAGACUACGUGUAGUCUUUUGCAUGUACCUUUCGAAUAAGCAUCGGCUAAUUCCGUGCCAGCAGCCGCGGUAAUACGGAAGAUGCGAGCGUUAUCCGGAUUUAUUGGGUUUAAAGGGAGCGUAGGCGGCCUGUUAAGUCUGCGGUCAAAUGUCAGGGCCCAACCUUGGCAUGCCGUGGAUACUGGCGGGCUUGAGUGCACACAAGGAAGGUGGAAUUCGUCGUGUAGCGGUGAAAUGCUUAGAUAUGACGAAGAACUCCGAUUGCGAAGGCAGCCUUCUGGAGUGCGAUUGACGCUGAGGCUCGAAAGCGCGGGUAUCAAACAGGAUUAGAUACCCUGGUA
RNAcentral lists this ribosomal RNA (453 nucleotides) under uncultured Prevotellaceae bacterium. RNAcentral describes it as "partial 16S ribosomal RNA". It matches the Rfam family "Bacterial small subunit ribosomal RNA", at positions 341 to 792 of the family's 1533-position model. Lineage: Bacteria; Pseudomonadati; Bacteroidota; Bacteroidia; Bacteroidales; Prevotellaceae. The record is from RNAcentral.